This 560-nucleotide ribosomal RNA is filed under the name uncultured Glomus. RNAcentral's name for it is "SSU rRNA". It matches the Rfam family "Eukaryotic small subunit ribosomal RNA", at positions 546 to 1106 of the family's 1831-position model. The record is from RNAcentral. Lineage: Eukaryota; Fungi; Glomeromycota; Glomeromycetes; Glomerales; Glomeraceae.
AAUUGGAGGGCAAGUCUGGUGCCAGCAGCCGCGGUAAUUCCAGCUCCAAUAGCGUAUAUUAAAGUUGUUGCAGUUAAAAAGCUCGUAGUUGAAUUUCGGGAUCAAUAUUUCGGUCAUGCCGUUGGUAUGCACUGUUAUCAUUGAUUUCUCACCUUCUAAAGAACCGUAAUGCCAUUAAUUUGGUGUUACGGGGAAUUAGGACUGUUACCUUGAAAAAAUUAGAGUGUUUAAAGCAGGCUCACGCUUGAAUACAUUAGCAUGGAAUAAUGAAAUAGGACAUCCGAUUCUAUUUUGUUGGUUUCUAGGAUCGAUGUAAUGAUUAAUAGGGAUAGUUGGGGGCAUUAGUAUUCAAUUGUCAGAGGUGAAAUUCUUGGAUUUAUUGAAGACUAACUACUGCGAAAGCAUUUGCCAGGGAUGUUUUCAUUAAUCAAGAACGAAAGUUAGGGGAUCGAAGACGAUCAGAUACCGUCGUAGUCUUAACCAUAAACUAUGCCGACUAGGGAUCGGAUGAUGUUAAUUUUUUAAUGACUCAUUCGGCGCCUUACGGGAAACCAAAGUGU